This 606-nucleotide ribosomal RNA is filed under the name uncultured bacterium. Its description in RNAcentral is "bacterial SSU rRNA". It matches the Rfam family "Bacterial small subunit ribosomal RNA", at positions 112 to 714 of the family's 1533-position model. The record is from RNAcentral.
AACGCGUAGGAAUCUGCCUGAUAGUGGGGGAUAGCCCGGAGAAAUUCGGAUUAAUACCGCAUAAUCUAUUCGUAGUAAAGUGGGGGACUUUCGAGCCUCACGCUAUCAGAUGAGCCUGCGUAAGAUUAGCUUGUUGGUAGGGUAAAAGCCUACCAAGGCUACGACCUUUAGCUGGUCUGAGAGGAUGAUCAGCCACAUCGGGACUGAGACACGGCCCAAACUCCUACGGGAGGCAGCAGUGGGGAAUAUUGGACAAUGGGGGCAACCCUGAUCCAGCAAUACCGCGUGUGUGAAGAAGGCCUGAGGGUUGUAAAGCACUUUCAAUUGUGAAGAAAAGUUAACGGUUAAUAACCGUUGACCUUGACGUUAACUUUAGAAGAAGCACCGGCUAACUCCGUGCCAGCAGCCGCGGUAAUACGGAGGGUGCAAGCGUUAAUCGGAAUUACUGGGCGUAAAGCGUGCGUAGGCGGUUUAUUAAGUCAGAUGUGAAAGCCCCGGGCUUAACCUGGGAACUGCAUUUGAAACUGGUAAACUAGAGUAUGGUAGAGGAAAGUGGAAUUUCUGGUGUAGCGGUGAAAUGCGUAGAUAUCAGAAGGAACAUCAAUG